RNAcentral lists this transfer RNA (86 nucleotides) under bacterium. RNAcentral describes it as "tRNA-Leu". It matches the Rfam family "tRNA". Rfam says of the family: Transfer RNA (tRNA) molecules are approximately 80 nucleotides in length. Their secondary structure includes four short double-helical elements and three loops (D, anti-codon, and T loops). Further hydrogen bonds mediate the characteristic L-shaped molecular structure. tRNAs have two regions of fundamental functional importance: the anti-codon, which is responsible for specific mRNA codon recognition, and the 3' end, to which the tRNAs corresponding amino acid is attached (by aminoacyl-tRNA synthetases). tRNAs cope with the degeneracy of the genetic code in two manners: having more than one tRNA (with a specific anti-codon) for a particular amino acid; and 'wobble' base-pairing, i.e. permitting non-standard base-pairing at the 3rd anti-codon position. The record is from RNAcentral. RNAcentral also lists the same sequence under 2 other names.
GCCGGAGUGGCGGAAUGGCAGACGCAGGGGACUCAAAAUCCCCCGAUCGCAAGGUCGUGCGGGUUCGACUCCCGCCUCCGGCACCA